RNAcentral lists this ribosomal RNA (326 nucleotides) under uncultured eukaryote. RNAcentral describes it as "partial 18S ribosomal RNA". It matches the Rfam family "Eukaryotic small subunit ribosomal RNA", at positions 1470 to 1796 of the family's 1831-position model. The record is from RNAcentral.
CCCUUAGAUGUUCUGGGAUGCACGCGCGUUACACUGAUUCGUUCAACGAGUUUAUGACCUUGCCUGAUGAGGUGGGGGAAUCUUUUCAAAUCGCAUCGUGAUGGGGAUAGAGUAUUGUAACUGUUAGUCUUCAACGAGGAAUUCCUAGUAAGUACGUGUCAUCAGCUCGUACUGAUUAUGUCCCUGCCCUUUGUACACACCGCCCGUCGCUCCUACCGAUUGAGUGCUCAGGUGAAUAGUAUGGACUGCAUCAGUGUUCGGUCUCCGAAUGUUGGCGCGAGAAAUUCUGUGAAUCUUAUUGCUUAGAGGAAGGAGAAGUCGUANCA